UUCAGCUGCUUUUUCAGCUUUGUUACUCUGUUCAAAGCAGGAAACAUGACAAACCUUUGAUUGUUUUGCUUAAAUCCAAACAAUAAUUCAAAGAGAGACAAACAAGCAACACUAAAUGAUGCCUGUGAUGUACAGGAAAGCCAAAGAAUUAGAAGAAACUGAUGAGGAUGGUGUGGAUCAGAGUGGGCCCUUUCCACACAUCCCUCCCAUGGCAGCAGGGUCCUGCACAGUGAAGGAACAGCACUGGGCCAGCUGUGCAGGUGUCACAGUGGGGCAUCCUGCACUGUCUGCAUCCCCAGCACAGCCUGCUGCCUCCAGAGCAACAACACCAACACCCCUGCCAGCAACCUCCUGAAAAACUCCUGUGAAGGCAGAAGAGUCUCCUCCCUUGAGCAUCCCCACACUCAGAAUCCACUGCAAAGCAAGGGUGGAGGCAGCCUGGCCUGGCCCAUCCCCUCCUGAGCACUUCUGAGGAUCUCUGCAGUGUCUGGGGGUGAAACACCCACCCAUGGCCACACACCAGGGCUGCCCCAGAGCCCAGAGGUGUGGGUGAGUGCUGGCUGCUCUUCCUGCCCAUCCUCAAUCACUGACUCCCCCUGGGGCGUCCAGCACACAGAAACCACACAGAAACCACAGAGAAACCAUCCAGGUGUGCUCUGUCCAGCACACAGAAACCACACAGAAACCACACAGAAACCACACAGAAACCACAUGGAAACCACACAGAAACCACCCAGGUAUCUGUGCCCAGCACACAGAACCCACACAGAACCACCCAGGUGUCUGUGCUCAGCACACAGAACCCACCCAGGUGUCUCAGCCCAGCACACAGAACCCACCCAGAACCACCCAGGUGUCUGUGCCCAGCACACAGAACCACCCAGGUGUCUGUGCCCAGCACACAGACUCACCCAGGUGUGUGUGCCCAGCACACAGAAAUCACACAGACCCACCCAGGUGUCUGUGCCUAGCACACAGAACCCACACAGACCCACCCAGGUGUGUGUGCCCAGCACACAGAACCCACACAGACCCAUUGAGGUGUCCGUGCUCAGCACACAGAACCCACACAGAACCAUCCAGGUGUGUGUGCCCAGCACACAGAACCCACACAGAACCAUCCAGGUGUCCGUGCCCAGCACACAGAACCACCCAGGUGUCUGUGCCCAGCACACAGAACCAUCCAGGUGUCUGUGCCCAGCACACAGAACCCACACAGACCCAUUGAGGUGUCCGUGCCCAGCACACAGAACCCAGCAGUGCCCACAGCCCCCUCCCAGGCGCAGCCCUGCCCACACCCACCUCUGGCAGGGGCAUGCCGUUGAUGAUGAGGUCGGGCUGCUGGGGGCUCUGGCCCGUGAAGGUGUGGUGGUAGAUGUGGUUGGAGCCGGCGUUGCGGCUGUUCUGGCUCUCCACGUUGAGGAAGGUGCUCUCGGAGCGGCGGCAGCCCAGCGGCAGGGUCUGCUGGUGGUAGUCGAAGUAGUUGAGGGAGGAGGUGAGGGAGGAGCAGCUCACCACGUUCAUUUUGUCCGUCUCCUCCACGUCCCGCGGCACCAGGCGGAUGUCGUUCUUGCUGAUCUUCUUCUUCUUGCUGGAUUUUUUCUGAUGCCCGUAGGAGUACUCCGCGAUUCUGGGGGACAGAGGGGACGUGAGAGCUGAGAGCACCCCAAACCCUGCCCUGCUAAACACCCAACAGACACCCAGAGGGCUUGGCCCCAUCCCCUGUAGCCCUCCUAGUCAUGCACGUUACGUCAUGGUUGGGGCUGGUGGCACCACACAGCCUUUAGCUUGUUUUCACAUGUAUCAUGUUUUCAGGUCAAAUAUGUAAAAAACAAAACAGGGGAAGGAAGCAUGCUUCUGUUUUGAUCUAGUGUAUGUAAUUGAUGAUUUUUAGUUACUAGAAGUAAAGUCCAGCCUGCAGAAGAGAAAAAUGGAGAUGUUAAAAUCCAUGAACUGAAAAGGGUACCUGCAUUCAUUUCCAUGCAUAAUAAGGAUUUUAAAAGUGAUUUAAUUUGGUCACCAUAAUGAAAAUUCAAAAGGAAUAGCAGAAUUUUUUCCCAGUUCAUUUUCCAUAGCAGUAAAUAAAGCAGACCCAGAAGCAGUCCUAGCUGGCAAGCUCAGUUCUCUCACACUCCAAAGGCUGUUUGUUUAUUAAUGCUUUAUCUAAAUUGCUGGUGUUUUGACUGUCUACUGAUUGUACCUGAUCUUUUCUCCAAUUGAAUUCCAUUCCUCCCUCACCCUGACACGCACAUCUGGGAAAUGCUUUCACCUUCUAGAAAUCAGAAAACAACAGCCGUGUUUUGCAAAGAAAAAUGAUCCUUCUUGACCUUUUUAUUUUACAGCAAGCUUGUUUUUCUCUGCCUUUCCUUCCCUCUUUGCUUCCCACCUGCCAAAAGAAUCAACUGAUGAAGUGCCUUGUUUGCCUUCUGCAGAGGAAAAAAGUUACUGCAAAACACCACCCAAGCAAACAAUGACAAAUAAUUUGCACCUUGCAUUAGUUGUGUCUGCUGGGCUCAGAGUGACUGUGGCUCAUCUUCCCACAGUGAGCACCACAACAGUCCCUGCCAUGAAUUUGUACAUGCACAGCACUGGGCAACUCGGUAUUUCCUAGGGAAGCACAUCAAAUGCUAUGCAGAGUCAGAAAUACACAUUUGGAAGUCAGGAUUUUGCUCCUCUUCUUUGUUAAGAUAACAGCAUUAAAAAAAAAUCCAAUAGCUGAAACAAAAAUAAUGGCAUGAAUAAAUAAUACAGUUUAUCAGGAAAGGCAAAUCUUGGACAAAUAUUCCUGCUCCAGAAAGCGAAUUGCCUGAGCAUGAAAAUGCCACUAAGUCGAACAGCCCUCGUAUGUGCCUCAUAAAUUAACACGUUUUUGAAGGCUCUCCAGCAGCUCUUGUGAAGAAUCUCUAAACCAAGGCACUGCAAAGCCUAGAGGGUGGGGAGAGGGUGCCCCAUGGUCACUGCUGCUGCUGCUGAGCCUGCCUGGUGCUUCCCCAGCUCUGCAGCUCACUCCUGCCCAGACACACACUGAUAACAUCCGAGUGUGCACAGAAAUCAGAGCAAGGCAGGCAUUUCCGUGGUGCCAACAAUCUAUAUGCUGUUGACUCGUCUAACAAUGCUUGAUGAAGCUUUAAUUGUUUUGUUUACCUAAAUGUUUAAGUUUGGCAAUGCGAGAGCCCAAUUAUUUCCUGCAGGCAUUCAUUUCGCUGUCCUCUCUGUAUUGACCAAUUAUUUAAUUAAACCGCACUUCAUUAAUCGCUAAGCCGUCACAGUAAACGCAGGGUUUAUGUGUAUGUGAGGAGCUGCUAGGGGCACCACCACAACAUGAUUUUUAUCCAUUCAGGUCCCAUCCUCCUUUAAUGGGCCGAGCUGGCAAGAAAUCUGCUCUAUGAGCUUUCACUGGAAGCUAGACAUCCCACAAUACAGCACAGACCGACCUUUAUUUGCAGAUGAUUUUUCCCCCAUCGAGCAAAAAGGUUUAUAUACGCACUUUGGGAGCGGGGUACAAUGCCCCGACUCUCCGGCAUUAUUCCUGCGUAAAUAAAACUUUAAAGACCGCACAUCCCCCCGCGCCGCCGAAUUGCCAGGGGCGAGCGUGCGUUUCCAAGGUAGAGCAAAAUUAAUUUCCAUCCCUCCUCUCUGAAACGACUCGGUGCCGAAGGAAUGGAGAAGUCAUGGCUAUUUCACCAGUAACAGGAUUAAACCAUUUAUGAGGCAUUGCAGCUGCUCUUUUAUGGCAUCUGAUUGAUAUUCAUGUGUGGUUAGCAUUUGUCUCCUAACUUGUGUAACACAGAGAAUAGUAAAAGAGAGACAAUAAUCGCCAGGCUGUUACAUAUUCAGGGGUUGGAUUUCCCCGAUCAGCCUUUCAGGGGCUCCAGCUCGGGGCUGACCUCCCCUCCGGCAUUUCGGACCGCGGAGCGCUCGCCCAAAGCCAGGGCACAACCAAAAUCCUGGCUGGCCCCAUCCCUGGCAGCCCUGCUCUCGGGGGCUGUGCCGCUGUUCUGCCUUGGCCACGGCUGGCCAGCGUGGCGAGCAGCCUCGGCGGGCACACAAUAGCUCCUUUGAAGGGCAGCGAGCCGGCGGUGCCCCCGCGGAUGCUGCGGGGAUGCUGCGGUGGCCAGCGGGGUUCCCCUGCCUCGGUCAGCCCGGGGAGCCGUGCUGGGGACGGGGACAUG
This 4172-nucleotide long non-coding RNA is filed under the name Catharus ustulatus (Swainson's thrush). RNAcentral's name for it is "lncRNA (ENSCUSG00005013683.1)". Lineage: Eukaryota; Metazoa; Chordata; Aves; Passeriformes; Turdidae. The record is from RNAcentral.